GAGGGCAAGAAGAGCAAGGGCGCCUCCGCCAAGGUGGCCUACCCGCUCCCCGAGGGUGUGAAGGCGACCGUGGAGGUCAAGGACGACAAGUCCGCCAAGGUUGAGCUCGCCAAGGACCAGUUCACCCUGGAGGUUCCCAUUGCUGACCUCACCGCGCCCUCGCUCUCCGCGGAUAACCUCACCCUCAAGGUGAAGUACUCCAUGGACUUCGACAUGUAAGUUUCAAGCCACAGUGUAUCCUCUUGAUGAACUUCGAGAGUGUUUCGACUUAUUCAUUGUAAGGUGUUAAGUUGGCUACGGACGCGUUAUGGAUUGGAUUAUUAU
Molecule: long non-coding RNA, 324 nt
Filed under: Micromonas commoda
Lineage: Eukaryota; Viridiplantae; Chlorophyta; Mamiellophyceae; Mamiellales; Mamiellaceae
Description: long non-coding RNA (MCOM_LNC000276)
Source: RNAcentral